RNAcentral lists this ribosomal RNA (253 nucleotides) under uncultured bacterium. RNAcentral's name for it is "partial 16S ribosomal RNA". It matches the Rfam family "Bacterial small subunit ribosomal RNA", at positions 524 to 776 of the family's 1533-position model. The record is from RNAcentral.
UACAGAGGUGGCAAGCGUUGUUCGGAAUUACUGGGCGUAAAGGGCGCGUAGGCGGCCCUCUAAGUCAGACGUGAAAUCCCCCGGCUUAACCUGGGAACUGCGUCUGAUACUGGAGGGCUUGAGUAUGGGAGAGGGAUGUAGAAUUCCAGGUGUAGCGGUGAAAUGCGUAGAUAUCUGGAGGAAUACCGGUGGCGAAGGCGGCAGCCUGGACCAUUACUGACGCUGAGGCGCGAAAGCUAGGGGAGCAAACGGG